RNAcentral lists this ribosomal RNA (274 nucleotides) under uncultured bacterium. RNAcentral describes it as "partial 16S ribosomal RNA". It matches the Rfam family "Bacterial small subunit ribosomal RNA", at positions 523 to 796 of the family's 1533-position model. The record is from RNAcentral.
AUACGGAGGGGGUUAGCGUUGUUCGGAAUUACUGGGCGUAAAGCGCACGUAGGCGGAUUGGAAAGUUGGGGGUGAAAUCCCAGGGCUCAACCCUGGAACUGCCUCCAAAACUAGCAGUCUAGAGUUCGAGAGAGGUGAGUGGAAUUCCAAGUGUAGAGGUGAAAUUCGUAGAUAUUUGGAGGAACACCAGUGGCGAAGGCGGCUCACUGGCUCGAUACUGACGCUGAGGUGCGAAAGCGUGGGGAGCAAACAGGAGUAGAUACCCCGGUAGUCC